AAGAGAAUAAGUUCCGUCGAUUACGGGUACACUCGAGAGUAUUUAUUCUUUAAGUUAUUUUAGUUUCUUAACUGUAAUUAAAGUUCUAUUUUAUAAUUUAUUAAUGUAUCUUUACUUACAGACUAUUUUACACUUGCAAUGUGACUUUAUUGCACGUGAAAAUAAUCAUCUUCCCUGUUUACAUAGAGGGUAUAGCCCACCCACCUUGUCCUCCGAGCUUUUAUGUGACAAUAAAAAGAAGGAAAAAAACAUGUUGAAUUUAUUUUUUACAGACAAUACUAUGAUAAUUAAAAUAAAAACAUUUCAGAC
This 309-nucleotide long non-coding RNA is filed under the name Androctonus crassicauda. The record is from RNAcentral. Lineage: Eukaryota; Metazoa; Arthropoda; Arachnida; Scorpiones; Buthidae.